This 389-nucleotide long non-coding RNA is filed under the name Corvus moneduloides (New Caledonian crow). RNAcentral's name for it is "lncRNA (ENSCMUG00000017700.1)". The record is from RNAcentral. Lineage: Eukaryota; Metazoa; Chordata; Aves; Passeriformes; Corvidae.
GGCCGCGGGCGCGGAGCUCCGCCCGCACGGCCCCGGGCGCGGAGGCACCGCGGCGCUGGCCGGCACCCGCAGGUACCGCACACGUGCCCCCGGAGGAUGCCCGCGCCGGCGCGCCUCUGUUUACUACACGUAUUGGAAAAGGACGCCACAGGAGAAGCCUGAUGGAGAGGGGCUUGCGGACAAGAGCGAGAGAAAACUACAUUCACAGUAAAUAAAAGCAUCACCCACAGAGGAUCUCUCAACUCAGUGACCUUUGAAGUUGCAAGAACACAUGGCCUAGACAGGUAAGGGAAUUCCAUUACUCAUUAUUUUCUGGUGGUUUUGUCCUGUGAAGCAUGCUCGUACAAGGGAAGAGCAGUUUGCAAAACUGUGUUUAAAGAGAAGUGGAU